This 822-nucleotide long non-coding RNA is filed under the name Phoenix dactylifera (date palm). RNAcentral's name for it is "long non-coding RNA (PDAC_LNC017892)". Lineage: Eukaryota; Viridiplantae; Streptophyta; Magnoliopsida; Arecales; Arecaceae. The record is from RNAcentral.
CAAAAAUCAGAAAACUUAUGCAAAUAUAAUACUAAAGCUAAUUAGUCUUCUCAUCAGGCUGCAUCCCCUUUCAUCCGACUUAGUGCAAAAGUUGCUGAAACUAGAGUACUAUGAUUUAUUUGUAUUCUUUCAAUUGAAAAAGUAAAAAAAUAAUUAGAAUAUCUUCGGGUCCUUCUAGUUGAUUUUAAGCAAAGUAUCUUUCUUCUUUUUAAAAAAAAUUUAUUACAUAGUUAACCAUGAAAUACUUGUUGUCCAUGAUUUAUUUUCGUAUUAGAUGUCUGUAAAUUUCUCAAAGCAUAGGUUUUUUUUUUUUUGGUUGCUAAAAGAAAGGGAGGGGGGGAUUAACCCCACCCGCAUAGCAGCCCCCAUUUGGCCCUCCUUCCACCAGAGAAUGUCCAAUGCAGCUAGAAAAUUUCUCAUACCCUCCCCAUGAGCACGAGCGAACCUGCGUAUGAGUACAUCACUCCAGCACCACCUCAGUACUAAAGAACCAGUGCGCUUCCAACGGGCAAACCAGACGGGGGGUAUCCGGUUCCUACAUUUAAUCAACGCAGUCACUCCAUUGGAAACAAAGCUCCGUUCCAACUAUGCUACCACCUUGGUGGUAAAGCAUAGGUUAUUUAGCUUGAUUAACUCUUCAAAUAUAACAUUUGAUUUUCGAUAGGUUUUCGAAGCCCACCUCCAUCCGAUCUAUAUUUAUUAUCCUAACAUAGACACAAAUUGAUCCUUCAAUCGAUCGGCAUGGAACAAAAAGUUAGAUCCAAAAUUCUAACGAGUACAUAUUUGUGUCCAAUAAAACCCGAACCUAACUCAACCACAGGG